This 333-nucleotide ribosomal RNA is filed under the name uncultured bacterium. RNAcentral's name for it is "bacterial SSU rRNA". It matches the Rfam family "Bacterial small subunit ribosomal RNA", at positions 29 to 361 of the family's 1533-position model. The record is from RNAcentral.
ACGAACGCUGGCGGCGUGCUUAACACAUGCAAGUCGAACGGAAAGGCCCUGCUUUUGUGGGGUGCUCGAGUGGCGAACGGGUGAGUAACACGUGAGUAACCUGCCCUUGACUUUGGGAUAACUUCAGGAAACUGGGGCUAAUACCGGAUAGGAGCUCCUGCUGCAUGGUGGGGGUUGGAAAGUUUCGGCGGUUGGGGAUGGACUCGCGGCUUAUCAGCUUGUUGGUGGGUAGUGGCUUACCAAGGCUUUGACGGGUAGCCGGCCUGAGAGAGUGACCGGCCACAUUGGGACUGAGAUACGGCCCAGACUCCUACGGGAGGCAGCAGUGGGGAA